GGUUGUAGCUCAGUGGUAGAAUGCUUGCCUAGCACAUGUGAGAUACUGCGUUCAAUCCUCAGCACCA
This 67-nucleotide transfer RNA is filed under the name Marmota monax (woodchuck). RNAcentral's name for it is "tRNA.Ala". The record is from RNAcentral. Lineage: Eukaryota; Metazoa; Chordata; Mammalia; Rodentia; Sciuridae.